RNAcentral lists this ribosomal RNA (460 nucleotides) under uncultured bacterium. Its description in RNAcentral is "partial 16S ribosomal RNA". It matches the Rfam family "Bacterial small subunit ribosomal RNA", at positions 338 to 795 of the family's 1533-position model. The record is from RNAcentral.
CCUACGGGAGACAGCAGUGAGGAAUAUUGGUCAAUGGACGAGAGUCUGAACCAGCCAAGUAGCGUGAAGGAUGACUGCCCUAUGGGUUGUAAACUUCUUUUAUAUGGGAAUAAAAUGUUCCACGUGUGGGAUUUUGUAUGUACCAUAUGAAUAAGGAUCGGCUAACUCCGUGCCAGCAGCCGCGGUAAUACGGAGGAUCCGAGCGUUAUCCGGAUUUAUUGGGUUUAAAGGGAGCGUAGGUGGAUUGUUAAGUCAGUUGUGAAAGUUUGCGGCUCAACCGUAAAAUUGCAGUUGAAACUGGCAGUCUUGAGUUCAGUAGAGGUGGGCGGAAUUCGUGGUGUAGCGGUGAAAUGCUUAGAUAUCACGAAGAACUCCGAUUGCGAAGGCAGUUCACUGGACUGCAACUGACACUGAGGCUCGAAAGUGUGGGUAUCAAACAGGAUUAGAUACCCCUGUAGUC